This 442-nucleotide ribosomal RNA is filed under the name Firmicutes bacterium 7d15-2. Its description in RNAcentral is "bacterial SSU rRNA". It matches the Rfam family "Bacterial small subunit ribosomal RNA", at positions 695 to 1113 of the family's 1533-position model. Lineage: Bacteria; Bacillati; Bacillota. The record is from RNAcentral.
UGUGGAAGGAACCCCCAGGUGGCGAAGGGCGGCUUUCUUGGUCUGUAAACUGACGCUGANGGCGCGAAAAGCGUGGGGAGCAAACCAGGGAUUAGAUACCCCUGGUAGUCCACGCCGUAAACGAUGAGUGCUAAGUGUUAGGAGGGGUUUCCGCCCUUUAGUGCUGCAGCUAACGCAUUAAAGCACUCCGCCUGGGGAGGUACGGCCGCAAAGGCUGAAACUCAAAGGAAUUGAUCGGGGGCCCGCACAAGCGGUGGAGGCAUGUGGUUUAAUUCGAAGCAACGCGAAGGAACCUUACCAGGUCUUGACAUCCUCUGACACUCCUAGAGGAUAGGGACUUUCCCCUUCGGGGGACAGAGUGACAGGUGGUGCAUGGUUGUCGUCAGCUCGUGUCGUGAGAUGUUGGGUUAAGUCCCGCAACGANGCGCAACCCUUGAUCUUA